GAACAGGUUUAUUUUAUUUAAAAUUUAUCAUUCAAAUUAAGUUAGAUAUGUUUAAAAUCUAAAUAUAGAACAUUAAAGAAAACAGUCACAUGUAUCUAAAUUUCUAAAUACUCAUAAAUAUAAAAGUCUAACUGACAUCACCAGAUAAGACUUCAGUAUUUUCAAAACCGCAGAACCCUCAAAAUAAUCUCAAUUAUAGAUGUCCAAAAUAUGUAUUAUUACAAUUUAGAACCUUUAUACAUUCAAGUGUUUUGGCUUAAAAGAGUCCCACCUUUGUGUGACUGUCACCUUGAAUAAAUGUAAAAUUCUUAUGUAAUGGACAUAAUCCCUUGUGUCUGACGCCAUUUAUAUAAUUUUAAAGUUCCACGUCUAACCAUUUUCAUUAAAGCAUGUUUUAAAUCAUAGUACAUUUUUCAAGUAAUUGUCUGUUAAUAUAUAACUUUGAAAACAACAAAAACAAUUUGUAUGCCAUCACAUGUUCUAGGCCAACGUAUAAUGCUAAGAAAGGAAAGAAAUAACUAUCUUAACUGUCAUUCCAGAUGUUUUGGCUUUUGGUUGAUGUUGAAGAAACAUCAAACUCGCAAAAAUCAAACUAGCAAACAAAUACAACCACCAGGCCAAAUAACCAUAACCAAAGUGUUGUGGGUCUUCUUUACGAAGCCACACAUUUGAUAUGAAGUUGUGCUUGAGAACAACUUCCCAUCUAUUUAAUAGACUUUCAUGUUUGGCAUACUGUUGCAGCCUUACAUGCUUUGCCUCGUGGCCUUGUAUGCUGUUGAUGCCAAGGCCAACUUGAAAACGGUCGAAGAGAAGUUUGGAAUGAUAUGGCACGACACAACCUACUGUCCAAACUGUGGUGUAAACUUUGUUCAGUAAUGCAGAAACAACAUUAAAGAACCUUUGGCAGUAGCCCUGAAGUAAGGUUAAGUGACCUUCCUUAAUUGUGACGCGAGAAAAAAGACAUACAGCACCUCUAAGCUGUAAAGCAGCGUAAGCGAUAGAGUAAAUUCUCCCUUUAUCUUGAGGCAAAUCACUCUCUCAAAUGCACUUUUUUGUAGUCUUCCAGCACAAAGCUUCUCUUUAAGGGCGAAGAGAAACUUAGCUAAACAUUCAUUCUCUGGGAUCUACAUGUUUCAUGUAAAAGCUCACAAGAUCCUGGGUUGAAAGACCACUCUUUCUCAAGACCCGUAGGCCAUACAGACGUUUAACCGCCUUGUUGUAGAUGGAGUCGCAGUGGAUGUUCCAAGUAAGAUCGUUUGCGAUGUGGACCCCUAGCAACUUAUGUGUCGAGACUUGUUCAAUUACAGAUCCUCCGAUCAUCCGAGGUCGUAAGGCUACCGAAUUGUAUUUCAAGGAGUUAACCACCAUCUCCUUAAAUUUCUUCAGAUUUAGUUUGAUAUUGAGCUUGUCUGCAUACAAGUUGAUGUCGGAAGCAAUUAGUGGUAGGUAACUAGGAGAGUUCUUUGGAAUUAACUCAAGAAUAGUUGCGUCAUCCACGUAUUUCAAUCUAGUGCUCCAAUCCUGUGCCAGCUGGUUCACAAGUACCACAAACAACAGUGGGGCUAGCCCCACGAGGGGGGUAUCCCCCCUCGUGGAGAUAUCGAGGAUGAGAGUUGACCAUCAAUCCGCACUCUCUGGUGACGAUCUAAAAGAAAGCCUAGCCUUAGCAUAGGGAAGUGUUUUAGGUAUUCGUACACCUUUCAUAACUUCAUAGGAUGUUCUACCCUUGUUAGCUUCAUUAUAUGACAUAGUUGAAUUGAUACUCAUACCCUUAUACUGUUCUUUGCUUAACAAGCCCUUGCCUGUAUAGAGACAUUUUAGGCUUCUUACAUGGUUGCCCUUACUCUGCUCAAAGUUGUUAACCUGAGGUUUUGUAAUUUUAGGCAGUACUUUCUUUGAGUUGCUCAUAAAUGCAUGAGAUGUAAGAUGAAGGUGCCUCAAACACCUCAGAAUUUUCAUUACUGACUUCUGAUUGGUUUCACUGCCUCCACUUCCUUUUUAUUUUAAGUGUUGUUUCUGGUGCAAGCUGCUUCCUACCACCUUUCUCUGCUACAGAUGAAUCUUUCUGCCUGACUUUGAUCUCAUCGGGCUGUAAUUAACAACACGAUUUUUGAUCAACAAUCCUGAGAGGCAUAAGGCAUAAUUUCCAGAACUAAUAUAACAAUAUAAUUGAUGUAAAUUUAUAUAAUUGAUUAAAUCUUAAAAAAAACUGAAAGGAUUACAUUUUAUUAAUUCUCCUUAGCCUCAAAGCUAUGUUAAAAAAAUUUAAAUUUGUUAUAUAUUUAUAUAUAUAUCGAAACUUUUCUUUUUGACCUUGUUUUGGAGAGAGGAUAACUUCUUCUGUUCUUUAGAUAAUUCCCUUGCAACAGCAUCUUUCUGUUAUUGA
This is a long non-coding RNA of Nematostella vectensis (starlet sea anemone), 2386 nucleotides long. RefSeq lists it as uncharacterized. NCBI's taxonomy places the organism in Eukaryota, Metazoa, Cnidaria, Anthozoa, Actiniaria, Edwardsiidae. The record is from RefSeq and is a predicted model, not a curated record. The transcript is spliced from 2 exons.